GGGGCCCUACGGGAGGCAGCAGUGAGGAAUAUUGGUCAAUGGGCGGAAGCCUGAACCAGCCAAGUCGCGUGAGGGAAUAAGGCCCUACGGGUCGUAAACCUCUUUUGCCGGGGAGCAAGGGCCGGGACGAGUCCCGGUCCGGAGAGUACCCGGAGAAAAAGCAUCGGCUAACUCCGUGCCAGCAGCCGCGGUAAUACGGAGGAUGCGAGCGUUAUCCGGAUUUAUUGGGUUUAAAGGGUGCGUAGGCGGGCUUUUAAGUCAGCGUUAGAAAUGCGUGGCUCAACCCCGUCCGGCCGUUG
This 299-nucleotide ribosomal RNA is filed under the name uncultured bacterium. RNAcentral's name for it is "partial 16S ribosomal RNA". It matches the Rfam family "Bacterial small subunit ribosomal RNA", at positions 333 to 629 of the family's 1533-position model. The record is from RNAcentral.